Molecule: long non-coding RNA, 542 nt
Filed under: Eutrema salsugineum
Lineage: Eukaryota; Viridiplantae; Streptophyta; Magnoliopsida; Brassicales; Brassicaceae
Description: long non-coding RNA (ESAL_LNC000014)
Source: RNAcentral
AAAGAUUUAAUCCGAGAUAAAGUGAAUGCGUUAGCCCAUCAGAGUAUAGAGAAAUGACAAAGAAACUAAUCUCUACAAUUCCUAUUUUUGUGGUCGUUGUUUAAUAGAGAUCUGCCUGAUCACAAAAGCAAUAAAAUACUUAAUAUUUGAGCUCUACAUUCAGAUACUAACUUCCAAACUCAAUUACCAAGAAAUGGAGCACAAAUCUUCAAACUAACUCAAACUCAGAAUCAUUUGAAGGACACUGACCCUUCAAUCGCUUAACAGGUAAACCCAAUCAUCAAUUACAUAAAUUGCUGCUAACUAAUAUGUGGAAGCAAUUGAAUCCUACAAAAAAAAAAAAAAACUGGAAAUGAUGAAUAAGAGAGACUGAAAAUGAUGAUUGUUACCAGAUUUGGGAGUGAUCCAAGCACAUCUCUUACGACCAUCAGAGAAGCAAUCACCGGCCUUCUCAUCUCUCUCCUCCGUCAGAUUCCUUCUCAGUGAAGAUGAAGAGUUUGACCCACUCCGCCGCAAAACCCUCUUCCCGCUCGAAGUAGACG